Molecule: long non-coding RNA, 502 nt
Filed under: Pan troglodytes (chimpanzee)
Lineage: Eukaryota; Metazoa; Chordata; Mammalia; Primates; Hominidae
Description: lincRNA
Source: RNAcentral
AAAGCACAUAUAAACCCACAGCCACUGUGGGUGGAAGGAGAAGGGCAGGGUGGAAAAAGCUUGAGAGAAGGAGGGAGGAAAAGGUGUCCUGGCUAGCACCAUGUGGAUUCUCUUGAGAUGAGAAGAAAAUGCCUGGCUACGUCCCCCUUCUGCUGCUCCUGCUUCUCCUGAGGUGUUCAGAACGGGGUGGGGGAGUUAAUUUUGGUGAGAAGGAUGCAAAAGUCCCCAGGACCUGGAGAGAUGGAGUCAGGGUCCCUGAAGAAGCCUCUUGGGACUCAGACAGGGCCAGUCCUGAGCGAAGGUACGGAAUAGAACCGCAGGCACAACUGGAUGAGAGGAGACACCUAUGAACAUGGAGCCAGAAUACCCCAAUUGCUGAAACACCAGUUCAGAGAGGAGUGAGCUUGAGAAAGAGUCAGGUUUAGUGUCCCACGGAAAGAGAACAGACCUGGAAAAGACAGAGUCAAAGCUGGGUGAGCAGGCCUUCGAAGGGCGUGGCUCA